AUUGAACGCUGGCGGCAUGCCUUACACAUGCAAGUCGAACGGCAGCACGGGAGCUUGCUCCUGGUGGCGAGUGGCGAACGGGUGAGUAAUACAUCGGAACGUACCCUGAAGUGGGGGAUAACGUAGCGAAAGUUACGCUAAUACCGCAUAUUCUGUGAGCAGGAAAGAGGGGGAUCGCAAGACCUCUUGCUUUAGGAGCGGCCGAUGUCGGAUUAGCUAGUUGGUGAGGUAAAGGCUCACCAAGGCGACGAUCCGUAGCGGGUCUGAGAGGAUGAUCCGCCACACUGGGACUGAGACACGGCCCAGACUCCUACGGGAGGCAGCAGUGGGGAAUUUUGGGACAAUGGGCGCAAGCCUGAUCCAGCCAUGCCGCGUGAGUGAAGAAGGCCUCGGUUGU
This 397-nucleotide ribosomal RNA is filed under the name uncultured bacterium. Its description in RNAcentral is "bacterial SSU rRNA". It matches the Rfam family "Bacterial small subunit ribosomal RNA", at positions 30 to 426 of the family's 1533-position model. The record is from RNAcentral.